CGGAACUCACUAGGCCUAUAAGCCAAGAGACCACUGCUGUGGAGCACAGGGGGGCACAGACAGCCACGUAGCGGCCAUAGGCCAUAGCGGCCAGCAGCAGGAACUCGGUACCCCCCAGGGCCAGUGCGAAGAAGAGCUGAGUCCCACAUCGGGUGAAGGAGAUGGUCUUCUUCUCCAGGAGGAAGUGCACCAGCAUCUGGGGGACCCCACUAGAGGUGUAGCAGAUGUCCACCACUGAGAGGUUGCAGAGGAAGAAGUACAUGGGCAGGUGCAGCCGCGCGUCCAGCCCGAUCAGGAGGAUGACGAGCCCGUUGCCCAGCAGGGUCAGCAGAUAGGCGGCCGCAAACAGGACAAAGAGUCCAGCCUGGGUCUGCCUGUCGCUGGAGAGCCCCAGGAGGACAAACUCGCUUUCCCAGGUCAGGUUGUCCCUCCUCAUGGAGCAGGGGGGCUGGGCUGCUGGGAGAGGAGCAGAGUCAGAGAGGGGCAAGUAGAGGUCAGACUUUAGGAGUCGGGGAUUAAGCCAUAGCCAGGACUUGAGCCGCAGUAGGGACACCUACCCUCCUGUUCCCUUAACCUAGGUGCUUAGGGAGAAUACAGUGAAAGAGCUGGAGGAAGGGGCACCUGGGUUCUCAACUAGACUGUGAGGUUCUCAGGGUUAAAGUCCCUAUUCUGAUCAUCCUUUUGUGGCUAGCAUCCAGCACAGUUACAGUUACAUAGGAAAUCAUUCACUGUAGAAGGAAAGAUAGAGGAAAAAAAAGUGGGGGAGAAAGGGUAGAAGGAAAGACAAAAAAGAAUGUAAAAGAAAAAGAAAAACUAAGGAAGAAAAGUUUGGAAAUCGGAAAAGGAGGAAAGAAAGUGGAAGAUAGGGAGGAGAGCAGGAUGUGGUUUUAAGCCACAGCCUCUGUGUGUGCCAAGGACCUGUGCUGGACACCAGACACCUGUCUGUGAGCGAGAUUGAAGCAGGAAUCCUGCUUUCUUGGUUCUUAUAACUUAAUCAGGGACACCAAGAUUAAAUUAAUAAUUACAAAAAUUAAUUAUAAUUGUGCUAAGUACUUUGAAGAAGAACAAGGUUACUAGUUGGUAAAUUAAAUUUGUGGCUGUAAUUAAAUUACCACUGAUUAUGUCUUCUCAAUAAUGUGCAAUUUACAUAGUAAGUUGCAGACAUUUAUUU
Molecule: long non-coding RNA, 1171 nt
Organism: Panthera uncia (snow leopard)
Lineage: Eukaryota; Metazoa; Chordata; Mammalia; Carnivora; Felidae
Exons: 2
Source: RefSeq, a predicted model, not a curated record